This 74-nucleotide transfer RNA is filed under the name Gaiellaceae bacterium. RNAcentral's name for it is "tRNA-Met". It matches the Rfam family "tRNA". Rfam says of the family: Transfer RNA (tRNA) molecules are approximately 80 nucleotides in length. Their secondary structure includes four short double-helical elements and three loops (D, anti-codon, and T loops). Further hydrogen bonds mediate the characteristic L-shaped molecular structure. tRNAs have two regions of fundamental functional importance: the anti-codon, which is responsible for specific mRNA codon recognition, and the 3' end, to which the tRNAs corresponding amino acid is attached (by aminoacyl-tRNA synthetases). tRNAs cope with the degeneracy of the genetic code in two manners: having more than one tRNA (with a specific anti-codon) for a particular amino acid; and 'wobble' base-pairing, i.e. permitting non-standard base-pairing at the 3rd anti-codon position. The record is from RNAcentral. RNAcentral also lists the same sequence under 2 other names. Lineage: Bacteria; Bacillati; Actinomycetota; Thermoleophilia; Gaiellales; Gaiellaceae.
UGCGCGGUAGAGGAGCGGCUGUCCUCGCGAGCCUCAUGAGCUCGAGACCGUGGGUUCGAAUCCCACCCGCGCUA